UCUCACUUGGUGUAGCGGUCAGCAUUCUGCCCUGUCACGGCAGCGACCCGAGUUCAAUUCUCGGAGUGAGAG
RNAcentral lists this transfer RNA (72 nucleotides) under Pseudoloma neurophilia. It matches the Rfam family "tRNA". From Rfam's summary of the family: Transfer RNA (tRNA) molecules are approximately 80 nucleotides in length. Their secondary structure includes four short double-helical elements and three loops (D, anti-codon, and T loops). Further hydrogen bonds mediate the characteristic L-shaped molecular structure. tRNAs have two regions of fundamental functional importance: the anti-codon, which is responsible for specific mRNA codon recognition, and the 3' end, to which the tRNAs corresponding amino acid is attached (by aminoacyl-tRNA synthetases). tRNAs cope with the degeneracy of the genetic code in two manners: having more than one tRNA (with a specific anti-codon) for a particular amino acid; and 'wobble' base-pairing, i.e. permitting non-standard base-pairing at the 3rd anti-codon position. Lineage: Eukaryota; Fungi; Microsporidia. The record is from Rfam by way of RNAcentral.